RNAcentral lists this unclassified non-coding RNA (150 nucleotides) under soil metagenome. RNAcentral's name for it is "partial internal transcribed spacer 1". The record is from RNAcentral.
CCAGAAGAGACCCUAACCGGUCCUCUCAACCCUGCCCAUCGUACCCUUUGUGUUGUUCCCUCGGUGAGGCUCGCGGCCCGCCGGCGGGAAGAUCAACGAAACCCUUUGCAAGCAAGCAUCCUGAAAUCUCUGAUCGAAUACAAAUAGUCA